This 1210-nucleotide long non-coding RNA is filed under the name Physcomitrium patens. RNAcentral describes it as "long non-coding RNA (PPAT_LNC012602)". Lineage: Eukaryota; Viridiplantae; Streptophyta; Bryopsida; Funariales; Funariaceae. The record is from RNAcentral.
CUUGAUCCACUGCAUACUUAACCAAACGGUGAUCUAUGUCAGGAGGUUGCGGAGAUUGAACUUUUCAAGGAGAGUAGGCAACUGUGGAUGUAUUCGACAUCGCUUCGGAGAGUCGAAAGCGCAUGGGAAUUCUUUGCUUGAUUACGUUGGCUCGAAUGAUUUCCAUCUUUUUCGAGAAAGAAAUGAAUAUUAUAAUCUAGAGUUGGGAUUCGGGUGAUGGGAUUUCAUGGUUAAAUUUUAUAUUUUUUUAAUAGUGAAAGGGUUUCCGAAGAGCUUGACAGGAUGACAAUUAUUGCUGAGCUCCGACCGUUCUCUUCGGUGUGAUCCAAUCCAGGAAAGUCCCAAAUCUCACCUGCGUCGCUUUACACUAGAGGUUAAAAUUGUGUUGUGAGGGUAGAUUGCCGAAGCUUCAAUCUGAGACACCCCAGGACGAAAGCUUGUGUUAAGGAUUGUAUUUUCCUCUGAACUAGGUAUGAAGGAUUUCACUACUCUCAAAUUUCCAAUAUCUUACUUCCAUGCUGAGAAGUUCAAUUUUUUAUUCUUUAUCCUGAAUUCUGAGGUGGGUCUCAACUGUUGUUGCAACUGCUUGAAAAAUCACCAAAACGCGCAACUUUAGCGGUCACGUUGACGGUCUUGCACACAACUGAUAUUCGCGUAGCAUCUGACACAAUACCGCAUCUGAAAUUCCCAUCUUCGAAAACAAGACCCAAGAGAAGUUAGGGUUAGGGUUCCCAACCUCUAUUUGGACUAGAAACCAUUUUUUAAGUACUGUUUCAGUGUGAUGUGCACAACUUCACCUGGUUUCUGAUGAACUCUUAGCAGAUUUACAUGCAUGUCUUGUGCAUGUGGAGGCAGAAUAAUGUGGAAUCGAAAGUGAAAGUAGGGGAAGAUCCAACGAAGUUGAGAAGAGGGGUCACAACAGAAGCCUUCGCAUUUUUGGAAUUAUUUCUAACGCACGGUUUUAGUAUAUAUAACACUUGUGAGUGAUUCAUUAAAUGUCAAAAUAACACUAUCUAUAAAUGUUAACUUUUUAAAUAAGAAUAAUUGGAUAUAUAUAUAUAUAUAUAGAGAGAGAGAGAGAGAGAGAGAUAUUAACAAGUCCUUGUUUAUAUGGUAGCAUCAAUAAAGCAAGAUUGGGAAUUUCACAAUUAGGAUUUGAUUUGCUAUUAUCAUGGUAUUAACCUUCUAUAUUACAAUAAUUUAAACCCAA